This 930-nucleotide ribosomal RNA is filed under the name Pseudosplanchnonema phorcioides. RNAcentral describes it as "SSU rRNA". It matches the Rfam family "Eukaryotic small subunit ribosomal RNA", at positions 106 to 1055 of the family's 1831-position model. The record is from RNAcentral. Lineage: Eukaryota; Fungi; Ascomycota; Dothideomycetes; Pleosporales; Massarinaceae.
UCAGUAUCGUUACUUGAUAGUACUUUACUACUUGAUAACGUGGUAAUCUAGAGCUAUACAUGCUAAAAUCCCGACUGUUGGAAGGAUGUAUUUAUUAGAUAAAAAAUCAAUGCUUUUCGGAGCUCUUGAUGAUCAUAAUAACUUUUCGAAUCGCAUGGCCUUGUGCUGGCGAUGGUUCAUUCAAAUUUCUGCCCUAUCAACUUUCGAUGGUAGGAUAGUGGCCUACCAUGGUUUCAACGGGUAACGGGGAAUAAGGGUUCGAUUCCGGAGAGGGAGCCUGAGAAACGGCUACCACAUCCAAGGAAGGCAGCAGGCGCGCAAAUUACCCAAUCCCGACACGGGGAGGUAGUGACAAUAAAUAACGAUACAGGGCCCUUUCGGGUCUUGUAAUUGGAAUGAGUACAAUGUAAAUACCUUAACGAGGAACAAUUGGAGGGCAAGUCUGGUGCCAGCAGCCGCGGUAAUUCCAGCUCCAAUAGCGUAUAUUAAAGUUGUUGCAGUUAAAAAGCUCGUAGUUGAACCUUGGGCUUGGUUGGCCGGUCCGCCUUUUUGGCGAGUACUGGACCCAACCGAGCCUUUCCUUCUGGCUAACCUUUCGCCCUUGUGGUGUUUGGCGAACCAGGACUUUUACUUUGAAAAAAUUAGAGUGUUCAAAGCAGGCCUUUGCUCGAAUAUAUUAGCAUGGAAUAAUAGAAUAGGACGUUAUGGUUCUAUUUUGUUGGUUUCUAGGACCAUCGUAAUGAUUAAUAGGGACGGUCGGGGGCAUCAGUAUUCAGUUGUCAGAGGUGAAAUUCUUGGAUUACCUGAAGACUAACUACUGCGAAAGCAUUUGCCAAGGACGUUUUCAUUAAUCAAGAACGAAAGUUAGGGGAUCGAAGAUGAUCAGAUACCGUCGUAGUCUUAACCAUAAACUAUGCCGACUAGGGAUCG